Molecule: ribosomal RNA, 909 nt
Filed under: Tepuihyla rodriguezi (Rodriguez's Amazon treefrog)
Lineage: Eukaryota; Metazoa; Chordata; Amphibia; Anura; Hylidae
Description: partial 16S ribosomal RNA
Rfam family: Bacterial large subunit ribosomal RNA (bases 167-909)
Source: RNAcentral
GCUAAUAAUCUAGCCCCUCCAUAUCAAAUGAAACCAUUAACUUUAUGAUAUAAACUAAAACAUUUUAUAAAUCUAGUAGAGGCGAUUAAAAAAUUAACAGGAGCAAUAAAAAAUGUACCGCAAGGGAAAGAUGAAAUAAAAAUGAAACAUAUGUAAAGCACAAGACAGUAGAGACUAACUCUCGUACCUUUUGCAUCAUGGUUUAACUAGUCCAAUCAAGCAUAACGACUUAAAGUUUGACCUCCCGAAACUAAGUGAGCUACUUCAAGGCAGCUUAUUGAGCAAACCCGUCUCUGUUGCAAAAGAGUGGGAAGACCUUCAAGUAGAGGUGACAGACCUAACGAACUUAGUGAUAGCUGGUUGCUCAAGAAAAGGACUUUAGCCCAGCCUAAAGUUUUUACCAGUUUUUCAAAACACAAUUUUAACUUUAGAGUAAUUCAAAUAAGGUACAGCCUAUUUGAAAAAGGAUACAACCUAAGCUAAUGGGUAAUAUUUUAAUUUAUAACCAAGUGGGCCUAAAAGCAGCCACCUUUAAAAUAGCGUCAAAGCUUUAUUAUAUAUGGUUUUUAAUUUCUUUUAAUUCACCAAACCCUUUAAUCUUAUUGAGCAAUUCUAUACUAUUAUAGAACAUAUAAUGUUAAAACUAGUAACAAGAAGAAGACCUUCUCUUAAAUGCAAGUGUAGAUCAACAAGGACCAACCGCUGAUAAUUAACACCCAUGAAAACAUAUUAGCAACCCCGCAAGAAAACUCUAAUAAACUAUGUGUUAAUCUAACACAAGAGCAUUACAAGAAAGAUUAAAAGAAAAAGAAGGAACUCGGCAAAUAUUAACCUCGCCUGUUUACCAAAAACAUCGCCUCUUGAAUAUCUAUAAGAGGUCCAGCCUGCCCAGUGACUCUGUUCAACGGC